RNAcentral lists this long non-coding RNA (2780 nucleotides) under Macaca fascicularis (crab-eating macaque). RNAcentral's name for it is "lncRNA (ENSMFAG00000058341.1)". The record is from RNAcentral. Lineage: Eukaryota; Metazoa; Chordata; Mammalia; Primates; Cercopithecidae.
UUUUUUUUUUUUUUUUUUUUCAUAUCCGCCCAUAUAUUUCCACUGCUGCAUACGCAGGCGCCACCACCCAAGGAAGCUGCUUUGCAGCUUGCCUGUUACCUCAGGGCAGUGUGACAGCGGGCAGAGCGCGGAUGUGAACAACUCCAGGCACUCAGCCUUCUGUCCGAGCUACCAACAGAUCCCCAGGAAUGCUUGCUACAAACCUUUGGGAGGUUAUUCCUCUGUGACUGAUUGCUUACAAACGAAACAGAGGCCUUUAGUACAUUGCGGCGAGAGACACAAAGGUCAGGGCAUUGAGGCUGCACAUGUUUGGAAUUCAGCUUUCUUUGUUCUCUACCACCUGCAUCCUCCAUCCAAUGUCAUCCCAAUUUCAAACUCCCCAGGGCUACAGGAGUUUGCUACUGGAGGCACUAAUAUCAUAAAUAUCACAGCUAUGCUGCCUCAAAAGUAAAAUUUUAGUGUGGGCAAGGUGGUGUGUACCUGUAAUCCAAGCACUUUGGGAGGCUGGGAGGAUCGCUUGAGGCCAGGAGUUCAAGACCAGCCUGGGCAACACAGCGAGACCCUGUCUCCACAAUAAACAUUAAAAUAAGGUAAUAAAUAAAUAAAUUUCUUGCACAUUUCCAUACCAUAUUUCCAAGGAGACAAGAGUGGGUUGUGGGUUUCUUGACAAUUUUUAUAACUAUAUAUGAUUUUAUAACUAUAUAUGGCUCUCAAUUAUUCAUGAGAAGACAAAUAAGUAAGCCUUUAGAAAACCCUUAGGAUUUUUUCAGCUAUUAGUUUUACCCUCCUGGACCCAACUCACAGCACUAACAAGUAGUAAAAUGAGCCAUUUCUUCAUUCCCCACUUCCCUGAAGGUGAGGCCAAUAAAUACUGAAAUGAGGAAAAGGCAGGCAGGCCGGGGAAGCCUGGAAGGAAAUGUCACAGGUCAUGUGCUCCACAAAUGUCACAAUAACUUUGAACUAGAAAUAACUUUUGUCCCCAAGAGAGCCACUCCCUCCUCACUCAGCCUUCCUGAAAUAUAUUUUACAUUCUAGGAUCUCAUUCAUUUGCUAGCAGGAUCAGCGUACGCUUUUUACCCAAGGUAAGACAAGGUUUGUAUCUCUAAUACCAUCUUACAGUUAUUCAAGCAUUUGUUCAGCAAUUCUAGAAUCUUAUUGCAUUACUCGCAGUCGGCACUCACUGUGUGAGUGGCAUGGUGCGCGGCCCAGACAAUACACGAAGAACAAGAUGACUGAGGCAUAGCCUGGGAGGCAGUCAUUCAUGACACAAAUAGCUAUUUAGUGACCAUUGUGACAUAGCUUUAAAAGAACACAACUUGUGAAAUCCAUUUCCUUUCAAGACUUGGCCUUAGAGAAGAGAGGGAAAACCCCCAGCAAGGCGGGUGUGUGCCCACAGGUUAACGUGCCUUGGGGCAUGUCUGAAUAGGAAGCUUCCACCUAAUUCUUUCUUGUACUCUGGGAAAGCAGCAUGAGCUCUGCACCAAAAUGCACAAAUUUAUGUUAAAUAAAAAUAUUGGGGAAAACGCUUCAAACAAAGCACAACAUUUCAGAAAGAGAGUGCUCACAGCCCCAACUCAUGAAUGAGGCGGUUGGCCUGACAUUGUCCUUGAUGUCAUCCUUCCAUAGUUCUCGUCACCUUCCAGCCUCUAAGCUCUGCCCAUCUCCAUUUGCCUCUGGACACCUACCUCCAAGCUCAUUUCUACUAAUUCUAACAGAGGUAUUGGGUGAAAAUGGCCUGGUCAGAAUUGUUUGCAUUUUAAAGGAAGAGUCCAGAAGACUGAAAUAAAUCUUUCAGAUUCUAAAAGUGGAAAUGAAAAAAUUAUCUCCUUGGCCCAUCAAACCAUCUCCAAUAGAGUCCCCCAAACCACUGCCCAUUCCCAACCCAUGGAGAGAAAUGGGUCCACUUCUCAUAUGUGCAAACCCUGAGUCUGUGUCUUAUUUCUACGUGUGCUCAUUUCCAGCAUGCUGGCCUCUGAAGCACCCCUGAGGUGACAGGAAAACACGUGAAGCCAUUUUAAAAUAACAACUGAACCCAAAGUGGCAGGCUGUGUCAAGAUAUCAAACUCAGAUCAGGUAUCACUGAAAAAAUGUUACUCAAAUGCUUAACCUUGCUGUUGUUGUUUACUCGUCCUUCAACUGUAUACUUUUAAAGUGACACAGAAUCAGUUUUGUCCCAAACACACACACACACACACACACACACACACACACGACUGUCCUUAUAUGACCUUGACAUAAUUUUAACAAGGACUUUCCAGGAAGAGAAUCUAGUAAAGCACCACUAGGCAUUAUCUUUCUGAAUCAUCAUAACUGCCUCUUGCUACCAUAAAAAACUGGUAAUUGUUGAAGAAUGGGAGAACGUAAGCCAGAUUCAGAAAGUUAAACAUAUACCUGUGAGGCAGCCUAAGCAGUAUCAUUUAUACCCUCUGGAAUGUGUAGCCCCAGAGUCCACUUCAGAUAUUAUUGCAGUAACACACCUCACUAUCCUGCAGCAGGAAGCAGGCACCCCACAAAACGGGGAGCAGGUAGAGAAUAAAGAACUAAACCAAAUCACAUCUAGCAAACAGACUUCCCCUGUCGUAUUCUCCCAGGCUCUGUUUUUCCUGCCCUUCUCUCUUUCCUGGUCUAAUACAAUUAUUUUCCAUCUGGCUUCACAAUGCCAGAACCCUUUUUCUCACAGGCUCCCCCUUUGCUCUGUUCCGUUGAAUUGCAUUUCCAUUUCUAGUCCUCCAGUUCUAUCGGUCUGGGUCUACACAAGUGGCUUUAUCUUCCAGUGUUUC